GAUGAACGCUGGCGGCGUGCCUAAUACAUGCAAGUCGAGCGAAUGGAUUAAGAGCUUGCUCUUAUGAAGUUAGCGGCGGACGGGUGAGUAACACGUGAGUAACCUGCCCAUAAGACUGGGAUAACUCCGGGAAACCGGGGCUAAUACCGGAUAACAUUUUGAACCGCAUGGUUCGAAAUUGAAAGGCGGCUUCGGAUGUCACUUAUGGAUUGACCCGCGUCGCAUUAGCUAGUUGGUGAGGUAACGGCUCACCAAGGCAACGAUGCGUAGCCGAACUGAGAGGGUGAUCGGCCACACUGGGACUGAGACACGGCCCAGACUCCUACGGGGGGCAGCAGUAGGGAAUCUUCCGCAAUGGACGAAAGUCUGACGGAGCAACGCCGCGUGAGUGAUGAAGGCUUUCGGGUCGUAAAACUCUGUUGUUAGGGAAGAACAAGUGCUAGUUGAAUAAGCUGACACCUUGACGGUACCUAACCAGAAAGCCACGGCUAACUACGUGCCAGCAGCCGCCGUAA
Molecule: ribosomal RNA, 515 nt
Filed under: uncultured bacterium
Lineage: Bacteria
Description: partial 16S ribosomal RNA
Rfam family: Bacterial small subunit ribosomal RNA
Source: RNAcentral